RNAcentral lists this non-coding RNA (30 nucleotides) under Rattus norvegicus (Norway rat). Lineage: Eukaryota; Metazoa; Chordata; Mammalia; Rodentia; Muridae. The record is from RNAcentral.
UAGUCUACCUGGACUGACUAUCCUCUGACA